This 468-nucleotide ribosomal RNA is filed under the name uncultured bacterium. Its description in RNAcentral is "partial 16S ribosomal RNA". It matches the Rfam family "Bacterial small subunit ribosomal RNA", at positions 28 to 507 of the family's 1533-position model. The record is from RNAcentral.
GAUGAACGCUGGCGGCGUGCUUAACACAUGCAAGUCGAACGAUGAGGCCCUGCUUGUUGGGUGGACUCGUGGGGCAAGGGUGUGUGAAACGCGAGAAUAACGUGCUUGUGACUUGGGUAUAACUUGGGGAAACGGUGUCGAAUAGCAUAUGGGUUCUCCUCGUGCGGUGGGGGGGGUGGAGAUUUUCUGUGGUUGGGGAGGGACUCGCGGCUUAUCAGCUUUUUGGUGGGGUAGUGGCUCACCAAGGCGGUGACGGGUAGCCGGCCUGAGAGGGUGACCGGCCACACUGGGACUGAGACACGGCCCAGACUCCUACGGGAGGCAGCAGUGGGGAAUAUUGCACAAUGGGCGGAAGCCUGAUGCAGCGACGCCGCGUGAGGGAUGACGGCCUUCGGGUUGUAAACCGCUUUCGGUAGGGAAGAAGCGUGAGUGACGGUACCGGCAAAAGAAGCACCGGCUAACUACGUG